AAACGCUUGAAGUCAGUCGCGUCUUCCAGGGAUCAAGUUACCUAUGGGUGACCGCACUUUCUGGUCGACGGGUCAGCAUCAAUUUUGAUCGUUGGAUAAGGGCCUCGGGAAUGUGGCAUCUUCGGAUGUGUUAUAGACCUUGGUCGGAUACAACGGUUGGGAUUGAGGAACUCAGCACGCCGCAAGGCCGGGUUUUAAACCACGUUCGUGCUUAGGAUGCUGGCAUAAUGGCUUUAAUCGA
Molecule: ribosomal RNA, 241 nt
Filed under: Cortinariaceae sp.
Lineage: Eukaryota; Fungi; Basidiomycota; Agaricomycetes; Agaricales; Cortinariaceae
Description: partial large subunit ribosomal RNA
Source: RNAcentral